AGACUCAGACUAGCCAUGCACGUCUAGUACAAACUAAAUGAUGGUGAAACUGCAAAUGGCUCAUUACAACGGUUAUGAUGUACCCGGGAGUUCCGAUGGAUAUUUCCAGUAACACUAGAACUAAUACAUGUCCCUGCGUUUAUUAGUUUCGCACAGUCCGUCGCUGAGUCAUGGUAAACAGUUGAUCGACUCGACGUCCCGGAACAGUUUCCGCCCCAUCAGCUUCGAUGGUUGGGUAUUGGCCUACCAUUGCAACAACGGGUAACGAGGAAUUAGGGUUUGAUUUCGGAGAGGGAGCCUGAGAAACGGCUACCACAUCUACGGAUGGCAGCAGGCGCGCGAAUUACCCAAUGCAGACACUGUGAGGUAGUGACGAGAAAUAAUAAAGCGGGACUUCUGUUUCGCUAUUAUAAUGAGGAAUAACCAAAGGUCAUUCCGAUUAGCAACUGAUGGGAAAGUCUGGUGCCAGCAGCCGCGGUAAUACCAGCGUCAGUAGCAUA
Molecule: ribosomal RNA, 500 nt
Filed under: uncultured Myrionecta
Lineage: Eukaryota; Ciliophora; Litostomatea; Cyclotrichida; Mesodiniidae
Description: SSU rRNA
Rfam family: Eukaryotic small subunit ribosomal RNA
Source: RNAcentral